This 76-nucleotide transfer RNA is filed under the name Sulfuriferula plumbiphila. RNAcentral describes it as "tRNA-Asn". It matches the Rfam family "tRNA". Rfam says of the family: Transfer RNA (tRNA) molecules are approximately 80 nucleotides in length. Their secondary structure includes four short double-helical elements and three loops (D, anti-codon, and T loops). Lineage: Bacteria; Pseudomonadati; Pseudomonadota; Betaproteobacteria; Nitrosomonadales; Sulfuricellaceae. The record is from RNAcentral.
UCCCUGAUAGCUCAGCUGGUAGAGCGACGGACUGUUAAUCCGCAGGUCGUAGGUUCGAAUCCUACUCGGGGAGCCA